Molecule: long non-coding RNA, 6760 nt
Organism: Aquila chrysaetos chrysaetos
Lineage: Eukaryota; Metazoa; Chordata; Aves; Accipitriformes; Accipitridae
Exons: 7
Source: RefSeq, a predicted model, not a curated record
AAAUAUGACUAACAGAGUGGCAUGUACAAACUCAUCAGCCCUGCUAUAAUUCUUCCCUAGUAUAUGGAAAGAAAAUUGCAGUAGCAACAUUCUGGGAGUCUGUAGACUUAAUCUUUUUUGGUAGGCCUUGAAAGGGAGCCAGUGUCUCUCCAUGCCGAGUCAAUCAUUCGCUGUCCAAGUAAACUGAACUGAGAUCAUCUAGAUGCUGGUCUUCGUUUCUAAUGAGCUUUCACAGUAAAACAGGAAAUAAUAAUCUUGAAAGGGGAAAAAAAUGGUCAAAAAUCAGCCAGAGAACAUUUAAAGGUUUGUUCUGAACAAGCAGAGCUAAGAAAAAGGCCUGAGAAAAGUGUGUCCUGGGAUCACUCACAGUUAAAGCACUGAUUAAUUAAGCAGAGGGUCAUUCUUCAGAAAGACUCAAGGGCAGUUUUGGCCCUGGGGCUGUAAUUUGGACACUUCUGGAGUUCUAGAUACACUGAGCUAUUCUGUGCCGGGCCUGUGAAUAUGUGCAUUCUUCUGGCUGAACAAUGGCAUCUUUAUUCAAAUGGGAGCGACUAAGUUCAGCUCUGCCAGAGGUUAGAAAAGAGGUUGUUUGUCUGAAGAGACAAGGGUGUGGUGAAAAUACUCUGUGCCAGCCAAGUGAACCAAAACACAAUCUGAAUUACAAAGCAGGCUGGAAAAUAAAAUUCAACUGACAGAAGAUCUGGACCCCACCUGUGCUGAAAGACAGAGCGAAAAGGAGUCCCAGGAACUGGCCGUGUACAGCUCCUGGAGGAAUGCUGCUAUUGACCUAUUUUCUACAAUCAAGACAGAAGGGGGCAGGAGGGAAAAGUCUACACUCAGGUUUUUGCUAUUGGACACACUUCAUCCCUGAUAGGGCAUCUGCACUAUGAAGUUCACCCUGAAUGAAUGGGCAUUCAGGUGUCUUCACCUCCAGGAGACAGCACACAACUCUCAGGCUGAAUGAGCCCCAGCUGGAUAGUUUUUUUAAAAUCUCCAUGGGUAACAGACCUGGAAGACUUUUCCCUCAUGCUGGCCUGGGCUGAACACUUGGUGGUUCUUUUUAGAGCACUGUGCAAAGAGACAGAGAGAAAUUCUCCACUCGAUGUGUGAGCAUAUCUGCUAUUAAUGCUGAGGGGAGUUAAGUGUGUGCUUCUACAAGAGAAUGUACCCCAGUGUUCAAUACUGUAGGGUACCCUAUUAAAAAGGUGCAAGCAUGUUUAGCUCCAGCACAUGUGAUGCAUUCAAGGGCCAACUUCCUAAGAUUUUUUUUAAGUGAUUCAGAUCUUUUUUGGUCAGGUAAAAGUUCUGAUAUGAUUUCAGCCUAUAACUGUAUGGAGGGAAGUGGCUGAUGGACUGUCUUGCUCUCAUCUUGUGAAAAGUCUUCUUUUGUUAUUGUUGUGUUCAGCAUCAUACUUUCAAGAUGAAGUUAGAAAUGUAAGGAAUAAUUUCCUCCUCCUGAUACAUAAUUUUGACCAAGUCUGAAAUUCUACAGCACUUGCAGAACACUGGUGACAAAGGCUCCUUGGUGUUGUGUGUCUGCAAGACCUAUUCUGGUCACUGAUAUUUCCCCCAAAUCAUUCUUAAACAAAUUUUAAAGCUUUGUAAUUGGCCUGGCCCUGGAGAAUGACCAUGAAAUUCCCUUAACCCUUCUAGGGCACUUCAACAAGAGAAGUGCCCACACAAGAAACAGCAAACUGCUUUUCAAAGGCAAUAUCCUGAUAUGAAAACAGACAUAGAUAAUGUACUUCAUGAUGGAACUGCUUGAUACAGAGAAAAACAUGUUGUAACUGCUUUCACCGUGAAAGGGGUUUAAAAAUGCUGCCUGCCAACUCCACAAAACCCAGAGCUGCUAUUUCAGUUAAAGGCCAGUGGAUUGUAUUUUUCAUGUCAGUUUUCACUAACCUCAAACAUCACUGUUAUGACAGACCGUCAUCCAACCAAACUAGCACUCUGGUGCCAUUCAAGCAGGCAGGAAGAAAGCAAACACGAAGGAAACUUAAAAGUCCAAUUAGUAAGUGGGGGGUGCAUGUGAAUGAAUUACUUUUAUGUAAUGAUACUGAUUACUGAAAAUGAAACACUUAAAAGAAAAUAAACAAAAAGCAGUGCUUUCUGAGCCAGUGGUGUUUUCUUGGCUGGCAAUUUCUCUUUGUUCAGUUUCAUGACACCAGCCUCAAUGGUUGAAGGGGUGUUCUGGGCCAGAUGUCAAUCACAAUGUCUGACAUAAACAAAAAUAGCUAAAAAGGCACGCCAGCAUCUUCCUUUUGUUUUCCCAUUAGCUCCAUUUUUCUUUUCAUAGGCUGACAAAAAAUUACUGCCUCCAAGUGAAUUCAGUAAUGUCACUAUAUAUCUAAUAUCUAGGAGCCCUUUUGUUUUAGCUUUACUGGGCUUAACCACAAAAGACACUUGACAUUGACAAAGAAUCUGUCAAACAUACAAUGAUCAGUGCAAUGAAACCUCUCAUGACAGAAGGGCACUAUUCUGCUUCGCCCCCCCUGCCUCCAGCAGCAGCCUGUCUGAGCAAAAUAUGCUGGAGCACAUGUAGCAGCUGAACCAUUACAGAGCAGGCCAGAAGCUGAGAUGUGUCUUGUUUAAAUUGUCAUAGCAUAUUAGUAUAAUUAAAACCGCCAAAAGAGUAGAAAAGAUAGAUGGAAAUGUUACAUUACUUGUUUCUAGAGAUUAACCUCGAGCCAGAACUGAAACAGAGAGACACAUUUUGGAUUUCUUAGAGCUCUGAUAUGGAAGAAAACAAGCCCGAGAGUAUGUCUCUUGAAGUGUGAGACAUGAAGUCAUAGUUCCUGUAUUUACACAAUAAAGCAGAAAUAGUGUUCAGACAGACACUCUGUUUUCUCUGUGAUUACAGCUCCUGUUGUGGCUGUACUCUGCAAAGCAGUUGUGUCAUCUCUCAGCUACCUCCUUUUCACUCUCCUUUGCCUUCGUGCCUGCAAGGUCUUGACAGUCCUUGGGCCUGCUAACGAGCUGGUGUUACCGCUCUCCGCUCCCUCCCCGUCUCUGAGCUUGGCUGGUGCGUCAGGUGCCCAGCCCCGAAGCAGCACACAGUGUCCUGGCUGGUGGCUGCGGAGGCCAUGGCUUGGGCUCCGGGGCUCAGCAAUGCCUAGCAGCUGUGCUCGGGAAGUCCUCCUGCACAGGCUUCAUCCCCUGGGCAUGCCUGUGCCUGGGCGAGAGAAACAAACACCUACUGGAGGCAGGCACAGGUAGACCAGCCCUGAGACUGCUCUUGAAGUGCACAGGGGAGCCAGGCCGGAGCUGGGAGUCAGACUAAGAUUGUCUUCGCUUAGACUGUUUCUGCUUCUCAUUGCCAAGGAAGAUGCUCGAACAAUGGCUUCAAUUUAAAAUCUGAACUUUCAAAUGCCAAGCUCUAUGCUUGCUUCUGUGUUGAAUGGACAGAUAAAAACAUAUGGCUUUCUAAAAUUGACCCUGAAAAUUAUGUUAUCCUCACUGGAUGAGAUGUUUUCCUUCCCACGCAUCAUCACCUCUGAUAACUAUUCAGGACUAACUAGUAACGAUCCCAAUUUCUAAUUAUGCCCCAAGUUAUAUCUGGUGGUGAGAAACCGAUGGAGAACCUUCUGUGGAUCUGUUCAGUUGUAGAUGUUGGAACCUGAUUUAUCCAGAAGCUGGGGAGGACCUGAACUGGCUCCAGCAGUUCUGAAAGACAGCAAAAGCAGCACGGCUUUCCUCUGACAAAAGUGGUACAUUCAAGGAGAAGAUACAGGAAUCAGGUUCAUCUAAGUGAACAUAAAAUUCUUGAGAAGUUUAUUAAUUUCAAAUCACAAUAACAGAGUAAUUUCCAGGUCAGAUUUCCUAGAAGACGACUCAGUACCACGGACAAUCGCAUGGUCUAUUAAACAGAACAGUACGGUUUGUGGAAAAGAUAAUAGUCCAGAUCACGAGAUAGCACCAGAUUUUACGUUAUGACCUCCAGAUGUCUUUGGGAACUUAAUGCAUCCAGCAUUAGUUCAAGUCUAAUCUGCAUGGCAGAAAUGCGAGUUGUUCCAAUUUUCUCCUCUCUGGGGCUGUGUGGAGAAACUGUCUCCCUAAGGGCUGCAGAGGACAGGCUGGGGUAGUUUGGCCAUGCUUUGGUAAAAAUAUUCACUGCAUUGCCAACUGCUCCUGGACUGCCCAGUGGUAUCACGUGCUGAAAAGAAAAGGUUUCAUCUUUGCUUAGUGGGACAGCGCUGUGCCCAGGUCUUUCUGAUACAUGCCCGUCAGAGCUGGCUCUACGCGUUGGCCAAGCAGGCAAUUAUUUAGGGCAGCAAAGUGAUUGUGGCCUCACUGCCUGCUUCAUCCGUGCUUCCAGAGCGCUGGAGAAGCAGGCGGGCAUUGUGCUGCUGCUUUGGAGAGAAGAGUUUGCCUGAAGGACAGGAAAGUCCCACCUGGCAGUGUCCACGUUCCCAUCUGGCUGCAGAAAGCUGGUGAGUCUGCCCCUGACUGCCUCCACACAGACAGAACAGGCCUCCCUGUGCUGUCCCCAGCCCUACGCUUUGAAAGCACCAGCGUUCCCUUUUGCUUCCAAUGCUGAAAAGCCCUGAGUUACAGCAGCUUGUCACAACUGUCAGGCUUCUGUGACAACCUUAUUGUAUCAUUCUAAGCAGUGCGUGUUGAUUCACUGGAGAGAGGGUGGACUUUGCCAAAUUGAGGCAUCAUUUACUUGCUUAGAAGCUCCUGAAGUGAGUGUCUCUGCAACGGGAAGGCAGCUCCGCUGCUGUUUCCAGGGUGCAACUUUGGAGUUCAAUACAUUCCCCUGAGCGUCUGCUGUAAAACAAUGUAUUGCAUCAGUUCCCUGAACCAGGGACUGGGUGAAGUCCACAGUAUGGUGGUGUUGAGUGAGGGACAAAAUCACCCCAGGGGAUUUCCAGCGCUUUGCAGGGCAGCCCAGUAUCCUGCUGUGCCCAGAGGGGCCACAGAUGUCCAGGAGCUUCUGGUGGGUCACAUGUACCUAUAAACAUGAUACAGUAUUUGCUCCAUUGCAUUCCUGGUGGAGAGCACUUUGUACUGGUAGAGGUAGAUGGUGGGGGAUAACAAUGCAAGGAUCUGCCAGUGCAUUUCCUUUUCAAUUUCAGCACCAUUGGGCUGGGAAGUAAAAAAGAGCUCUGCAAACAGAACAAGUGUCUGACAUGACACUGCAACAUAAAAAAAAGCUCAUGGCUACUUUUCCUCCAUGGAAAUCUGUACAAAAAUUGACAAUUUGGGACUUUGUGAGUUUCUCUCUGGAGUCAAAAAUUCAGUGUGAGUGCACAAAAGAGUGUGAGGAGAGAGCAUUUUGGCUCCUUCAACCCUGUGCAGAAAACCUCCCAGGGUUUCAGAUAGGAUUUUAGCAUUUCUUGCAGUCUUCAAAUGUUGUGCUGUGCAAGGAUGUGCUUAUACAUAAUUUUGUAAUUGAAAUGGCAUGUUUACUGUUCUAUUUCAUGCUUGAUUGUGUUUUUUAAACACCUUUACUCACGCUGUUAGAAGUGGGAUUAUAAUUAAAAUGUCCUGUUGAACACCUUGUUCAGUUCAAUGAAGGCGUAAUAGAAGUAUAAAUACUUGUUCUCGUUGACUCUGUGAUGUCAGCACAACAAACACAGUAAAUGUCAUAAACCAAAUCUCUCUUUCGCCAAAGCAUCCGUCAGAAGGGAAGGGGAAACAAUCUGCAGCUGGGCAAUGAGGGGACCUCUUUUUUGUUACCACCGAUGAUGAGAUGCGUACCCAUCCUGGCAGGCGAUUGUUCAGUCUUAAGGAACUUUAAAUUACUUCACAGCUUGAAAUUCCAGAGCUACCAAAACCAGCUUUAUCGGAGUGAAAGGCACCUGGAAGUACUGGAUGUCCCAGAGGAAUUCAGCCAGAGGGACGCGCAGGUCUGAGAGACUUUGCGGCUAAGGUUGUGUUCCAGUGACUGGUACUUUUGUGGGCUUGCAGGUUUCUUCCCGUGCCAUGGGAGAGGAAAAUGAUGCGUGGAAUUUGUGGUAGAUGAUACAAAUGACUGCCCGAUUGUGUAAAACCUUAAAUAGGUCUUUAGAGAUGAGACCCUCAAGUGUUGUGUGACUCUAUGGAUCACACAACAGCACUUAGGUACGGGGAGUCUGGAGAGACAAGUGGGAAGUCUUUGCAGAAAAGACUGCAUCGACAUUUAGACAAAAAUAUAGCUCUGCGAGGUACAUGCCACUUGCAGCAUUGACCUGGGUAAACCUUUUGUUCGCUUGGUACCGACUGCUGCUGUUAUUCACACGGAUGCAAAAUCACAAGCAGGCGGCUCGGUAGGGUUUUAGGUGGGCGCACCCAGACCCCCAGGCCGGGCCUGCGGGGCUGCCCAGGGAGCAGGUCGGACUCGGCGCACGCAGGGUGGCAGAAAGGGGCUCUUUUCACGAUUAGUCCCUGCAAUAUUUUAUAUUUUUAACAAAUUUACAGCAUAGAGCAGCACUAGCCUCAGGAGGUUGACAAGGCGGUUAAAUGCAUGCAGACAAGGUGCUCCCUCCAAGCAAGCAGGCAGGCUUUGUUAACACCUGUAAGGUUAAAAACCUGCCUUCACACUGUACUUGAGAAAGCAAAUAACGCCGUGUAAAGCGGCAGCCGUAACACCACAGCCCCGGGGCCCACCCUGUAGCGGGACGGCGACAGCCACGUCCGCUGUCCCCAGCGACGGCGGCCCGAGGCCCCUGGGGCUCGGGCAGGGCCCCCCUCGCCCCCCCUCCCCGCCUCCCGGGCUCGAGCAGAGCCCAUCGCCGCGGCCGGGCCCCCACCGCCGCGGCCGGGCCCCCACCGCCGC